Molecule: long non-coding RNA, 3731 nt
Organism: Ruditapes philippinarum (Manila clam)
Lineage: Eukaryota; Metazoa; Mollusca; Bivalvia; Venerida; Veneridae
Exons: 2
Source: RefSeq, a predicted model, not a curated record
AGCAAAAUAUGUUAUGAAUUUGAUGACUAAUAAUAUUAAGUUUAUUAAUUGAUGCCAAUUUGUUUCCGAAAACUAAAACUUUCGUAAAUAAUUUCGAAGUAAUUUGGAGAUCUCGAGUCUUUCGUACCCAAGACAUUUCGAUCAUACUUAGACUGCAAAACCGACAGAUUUUACAAAUUGAUAUUACACAGGUGUCUGCCUUUACAGGAAAACCGGCAUAUACGCCUACAAUUUUUUGGUCUUGUCACGGCCGUUACGUCUCUACCAAAUGGGGCACAUUCUUUAAUAUUUCACAAUUUUUUAGCAGGUUAGUGAUGUAUAUUUUCUACUUGUUGACAUUUUAUUGUUUGUUACGCUGGAGAAUGCUUAGCGUCGCGAAUUUACGGUAGUCGAGGAUAUAUAAUAAUUUAUAAAGGUCAAAAUAAAAUUAUUCUGAAAUAUUAAAGAAUGUGCCCCAUUUGGCACAACCACUUUUCAAUCAUCCCUAGAAAAUUUUUGUUUUUGACCUUAUUUGUCAUUUUACUAAACUGUAAGCACAUCUUGUAUUCACCUUGACUAAAUUUAUCAGCAGCAAUGUCAAUUAUGGCGAUAAAAAAAGAAAAUGCUAGCAUUUUAGUUCAAAAUAUGUAAAAUGUGAAGUUGAGUUUGUCAAAAUUUCUUCAAAAUACAGAACUAAUUAUAUUUUAACAUUGUAUGACAAUUUUUAUGUGGUACAGUUUAUAUUUUGUUAACUGAUUGAAAAGUGGUUGUGAAAUUUUGAAGAACAGGAAAAUGGGUCAGUAAUGAUUUGUCCUCGAUUCAUAGUAAUAAUUCAAGUAAAAUUUUUAAAAAGUUGGUGCAUUAAUUAGCUGAAAAGAUAAUAUUCGCAGAAUUGAAAGAGAAUUUUUUUAUAUAUAAUUUCACUGUCUGUUAUUGUUGAAAAAUCUGUUAGCUGAUCGGAAAGAGGCAGUACGGGGAUACAUUUAUCUGGAAAAAAUAUUUCAGUCCCAUCAUGACAAAAUACCUCAAUGGAACCCCUUUAAAUUGAAUUACACUUUUUUUAAAUGUAUGGGUAAAUUCCAUUUUCAGUGGUUGAAAUUUUUCCUCUUUUCUGAUUAAUCAAGCUAUAGUUUCCCAUUUAUAAAGCCACAGGUUGUUUUGAAAGUUGAAAAAAAAUCACUGCCACCUUGAUUACUGGUUGGGGACCACCAAAACCGGACAACCACCAAACCCGGACGGCCCUGAAAAUGCUUAAUUUAGUAUUUUCUUUGUUCAGUGGUUGUCAGUCACUUUUUCAUUAACAAUAAAUGCACAUUUCUUCUAAAAUUAAGUAAAUAAAUUUAUUUCAACCUCCGUAAAUGGUAAUAUUUUAAUGUCUAUUUCUACAAUGUUGACGUUGAAAUUUGGGGGGUCAAGAAAGCAUUACCUGACCUCAUAUACCAGCUAUUAUCAUUUGCAGAGUAAACAAUAGAAAAUCCAAAACUUCAGCAUUUGUUGCUGAAAUAUUGUACAUCAUGUUAAAAAUCUAAAAUCAAAACACCCAAGCUUUUAUCUGAAUUAAAUCGUGUGAUGUACAUAUUUGUACGGACACAUGGUACUGUAGUGUAGACAAUUUAGGUAAUUUUGAUACCCUCCUUGUCAAGCCUCAGAUAUAAGUGUCAAUACAAUCAGAAAUAAACAAACUAGUUUGUUAGUAAGGAGAAGAAUCUAGCUGAACUGUGUCAAAUUUUAAGGUCUCUAGGUUAAAAAUUAUUAAAUCAGUACGGAAAAAUGUUCAAAAAGUGUCCGGUUGAUGGUCCUCGACCAGUAGAGCUGUCAUCGAUAUCGACAAUAUCGAUGUAUCGUUGAUAUUUUUUUGUCGAUCAAUAAUCGAUACACAUUUUAAAAAAUCGAUACUUUUGACUUAUAAAUUAAAUGUCUAGAAAUUAUACAAUUCACCCAAAAUAUAUGCAGAAACAGUUAUUUAUAUCUAAUGUUAUGCUUUUGUUAUAUAGUGAUUUAUAUCUAAUGUUAUGCUUUUGUUAUAUAGUGGAAUUAUUUCAUAGCAAUGGUGACAAAUAAUAUUGUCUGGAAAAAAUCAUGCAGUGGACAAGACACUGUACAGAACAUGUUUUUGACUGAAAUCAUUGAAACAGGUAUGAAAGUGAAUGACAGACAAGUGAGUUUAGGAUAUUAUCGAUAUAUCGGUGUAUCGUUGAUUUUAGUCACUUGAUAUCGAUAUAUCGUUGAUAUGCUUUGCACAGAAUCAAUGACAGCUCUAACCUUGAUAAUUGUUAACCUGAAAAAUCUUCAGGCACUUAAAGGGAUUUGAACCCCAGACCUCUUGAUUACAAGGCAGACACACAACCAUGUCGCGAAAAUGUCAACACAACAGCAAGACUGUUGGAAAUGAUCUAUACCUGUUCUCAAUACAUGGUUGAAGUAAUUUAUCAGUGUUAAUUAGACAUUUUAUAUGAUUUAACAAUUUUUGACACUUACUGAUAUUCACAUUUUUUUCACAAAUCUACAUGUAAAAAAUAGAUAUCAUAAUAAAAUGAUAGAACAUUUUCUAUUUUAGUGGUAAUACUGUGGAGUAAUAUGAAGAAAUAUUAUUAAUAUUUUAUUAUCAUAUUUUUUCAAAUUUUAAUUAUGUCAUUACAUGCUGUACACAAUCAUAUUAUAGUGUAAACAUAUAUAUACAUUGUAUAGACACAUAUAUACAUUGUAUAUACCAGAGACGUUAAAAUACAUAAAAUGUAUUUAUAUGUCUCUGUAUAUACACACACUAAGAGAGUAGUAUUGGAUGAUUUUGAAAAUGAAAUCUCUAAAUUGAUAUUUUCAGGGAAAUAAAAGAUUAUUUACUUUAAUAUUCACUUGGAAAGGCUGGUACAUGUAGCUAGAAAAAAGUACAGUAUAAGAUUAAAGAAAGACUAGAAGAUUAUUACAAACAACAGGUGGACAUGUGUCACUGUCAAGCGAAUGAAUAUAAGCAUCACACUUGGUGGGAAUCUCCAGUUUCCAGAUGUAGUGAUCAUAACUGUAUAGGCACCAUUAACACUUUGGACUAGUUGGAGUAUUUUAGAGGGCUAGUCUGAAUUGAAUCCCCUGUCAAUAGUAAAGGCCAGUCAUGAACAUUGUGUUGAAGGAAAAUGUUAAAACUCGGAUUUUCCGCUUAACCAAUCAUUACUUUACCUUAUAUUCAGUGCGGUAAUGUAGGAAAUGGUUACUUUCUGGAACGGAGCUGUCAAUUAUUUUUAAUUUUUUAGCUUGUUAGUGUUAUCGUCGGACAGUUGUGAAGUAAAGACAUCGCAGUUUGACUGUAAACUAUACAAGUUGCCUUAAAGAAAGUAUGUCGAAAUCUUAACAGUUAUUGGUUGAUUUUGUAGAAAUUGACCAGAAUUCACCUUUGUUUACACGCAUCGCUUGGACGUCGAAAACGACAUGCAAUGACAUUUCAGUGAAAUUUGGAAACUUGCUCGUAUUUUGGAGCAUUUUGUAGGAUUUCGAUGAAGUAAAAAGUGUUUAUGAUAGGAUACAUUAUUCCUAGAGACAACCACAAAGAUAAAAUAGUGAUCUGGUGUAUUUUUACCGAACAGUUCUUGUUUGUUUUGCAUGAUAUUUUUCUCUCGUUAGGGACCUUUAUUCUUUAUAUAUAGUAUUAUGAGCGUAUAUGGGUAAAUGUGGUAUAUAGUGCCUGUGGUUUUAACAUGUAUCUUAGCUUGCCUGGUGUAAUGAUAAGUAAUAAACCUGAGAAUUGAAACUAUGAGAAUAAA